RNAcentral lists this long non-coding RNA (3530 nucleotides) under Podarcis lilfordi (Lilford's wall lizard). Lineage: Eukaryota; Metazoa; Chordata; Lepidosauria; Squamata; Lacertidae. The record is from RNAcentral.
UAUGACUGUUGUAAAUAAAUCAAUAUAACCACAUAUGAUGGGGACUGAUGGGAAAGAAAGUGAUCCCUAAAGCAUGAAGGCCUCGAUCCAUUUAGGAUUCCGUGCUGCUAUGUCCUGUUUUGCAACAUAGCAACUUCAGAAGUUGCCUUUGAUUAUUUUUUGUGCAGACAUCUACGCUCCAUACAGAAGGAAAUGUACUGAAUGUUCUUCCACGAUUAUUGUUCCACUAGGAAAUCAUUACAGUAAUACCCUGCAAGCUGAGUAAUUACUAUUUACAAAGAUCUGAUAAAGUCUUAUAUUUUCCAUUAGUACUGAACUAUACUAAUUUCCUGUCUUUUUAUAGUGUAGGCACUUGGGAUUCCAACUCAUUCUCAGAACUCUAAAACCAUGAGCGGUGAAGAGGAAAAACACCAUUUUCUCUAGGAUAGAUGGUGGCUCACACUUCAUCACAGGAAAUUCCAGGGCGAUGGAGGCAGGCCAUUAUAAAGCUUGGCUACUCAGUCCCAAAAUUCUAGAAUCAGCAGUGCCCUGGAAAAUGCUGGGAAAUAACUGGGGAAUACCAGUUAAUCCUGAAGUCCCACGUGCGUGGGGAACUACAAAGAAGAAAUGGCUGGCUGGCUGAAUUCAAGUAAGCAUGCAGGGCUUGACUCACUCUUUAGCCAAAACAGCCCCCAGCUGAGUGUAAAACACAGAUCUAUGCAGCAAGGCACGGGAAAUAUAGAUUGUUAGACCUUUAAUGUCCCAGUGUUAAGCGCUUAAAAUGCUGCUUCCCCCGCCUUUACUCCUCUCAAAUAGAUCACAAACUUAAGUAAGUUUAAAUGCUUUACUUACAGUAGCCAUAGGCGUCUCACUCAUGUAUCGUUCAAUGCUUACAGCAGAAAAAGCAUAGGCAAGGUAGUCUUGGUUACAAAAUACAGAGGUUGGUCUCAGACACGUGGUCUGAGUCUGAAGUCCCAGCCAUGUGCACAGCUUACACGGUUCAAAGCGGGGGUGGGGGGGAGAGAUGAAUCGGAAACAAACAAUACUUCCUCCCUAAAGGUAAAGCUCCUGCCAACCUAGCAGUUCGAAAGCACGUCAAAGUGCAAGUAGAUAAAUAGGUACUGCUCCGGCGGGAAGGUAAACGGCAUUUCCGUGCGCUGCUCUGGUUCGCCAGAAGCGGCUUAGUCAUGCUGGCCACAUGACCCGGAAGCUGUACGCCGGCUCCCUUGGCCAAUAAAGCGAGAUGAGCACCGCAACCCCAGAGUCGGUCACGACUGGACCUAAUGGUCAGGGGUCCCUUUACCUUUAAAGGUAAGGCGCCUAGCUGCGCCUUCUUUAACAAUUUACAACUCUGUGGUCCUUAAACCCUUUCUUAUUGGCAAAGACAGUUGUGUUUGACGGCAUGAAAUCUCCCACAGAAAGGGGAGGUGAAAAGCCAUCAACAAAAUCAAUCCUAAGGGAUGGGAUGAGAAUGAUCUUACAUAGAAGUCUGAACAGGAGUGAAUGAAGUGGCCAUCAUUUUCUCACUCAGUGGCUCCUAGAUGAAAGAUGCCCACAGGGCUGCCGUUUCAGCAGUCCUUGUGUUAUUAGUAACCGACAUCCCACCAGCAGGAACUGGCUAUGAAUUAUCCACAAAUAAGCUUAAAUGUGACUGAACACAUUUGUUUGUUUCUUUUGAUGAUGGGAGAAUUCUGUGAAAACAAAAGAUCAGAAGACAGGACUAAACUGCAAUUUCCAAACUGGUUGAUUUCCAUUUAAACGGGAAGCAAAAAUCCCACUGUCCCAAGGGGAACAAGAUCUAAAAAGCAAAAGGUUCAGAGUUACCUCCUUUUGUGAUGGUUUUGAGCUUUCCCACAGGUAGUGAUUACCAGUGACUCAGUAGACAGAGGCCUCCGGUCUGAAUUCUUUAUUACAUGUUACUCAAGCAAUCCAAACUCAUCAGUUCUGGUAAUAUUACCUCUUCUGAAGAGCUAAGCUUUUGGAAUCAUGCAAAUUGAGGCUUUUAAGAGAGAGAUCAACAGACCCUUGCUUCUGAGUGGGAUUUCUUUUUACAGAGUGCUGUUUUUAUUCAUUAAUUUCCAACUACAUUCACAUAUUAUAGGGAUCAGAGGGGGAAGACAUCUGAGUACACAUAAUAUCCAAGUAAUUGAAGCAGCAAAUGGUUCCACCCAUUUUUAAAAUAGAGCAUAUAUUGUCACAUGUAUAAGAACCUUCAUGACAAGUUUUCUCUUUAUUUCUUAGGAAAUGGGGUAUUUGAAGUAAAACCUAUUUUAGAUGGAAAGGAAGAGUAUCAACAUGUGUUUGCAUCAAUAGGAAAUAGCAAAGUAGUGUCAUAGAGCUUCUUUAUGCUGAUGACAACGUAGUGUGCACACACUCGGAGGAUGACCUCCAGACCAUCCUAAAUAUGUUCAAAGAAGCUUAUGAAAAGCUUGGUCUAUUGCUCAGUAGCCAAAAAAACCCAAUGUGCUGCAUCACCAAACACAAAACCAACCCCUUUGCAGCACCACAAAUCUAACUUAAUGGUGUAAUGUUGGAAAAUGUUGAUCAUUGUUCCUAUCUAGGCAGUUAUAUUUCCACAAGGGCCGACACUGAUGCUGAAAUCCAGCAAUGCCUGAGCUCUGCAAGUGCAGCUUUCUCCCAAUUGAAGUGUAGAGUGUUUGAGGACUGGGACAUCCGCAGGGAAACCAAAAUGCUUGCUUACAAAGCUGAUGUACUAUUAAUUUUACUGUGCACUUGUGAAACAUGGACCACUUACAAACGCCAUCUCCAGCUCCUCGAAAGAUUUAAUCAACGGUGUUUCUGAGAAUUUUUACAUAUCACUUGGGAAGACAGGUGAACUAAUGUCAGUGUACCGGAAGAAGCAAAGAUCGCCACUGUCAAAGCAAUGAUUCUUCAACAUCAACUUUAUUGGACUGGUCAUGUUGUUCAGAUGUCUGAUUAUCAUUUUCCAAAGCAACUACUCUAUUCCGAACUUAAGAAUGGAAAAUGUAAUGCCAGUGGACAACAAAAAAGGUUUAAAGACACCCUCAAGACAAAUCUUUAAAAAUGUAGUGUAAACAUCAGCAACUGGGAAACACUGGCCUGUGAGCACUCCAGUUGGAGAGCAGUCUUUACCAAAGGUGUCAUGGACUUUGAAGAUGCUCAAACUCAGGAUGAAAGGGAGAAACAUGCUAAGAGGAAGGCAUGUUUGGCAAAUCCUCAUUGUGAUCAGCUCCCACCCAGAAACCUAUGUCCCCACUUUGGAAGGACGUGUGGAUCCAGAAUUGGCCACCACAGUCACUUACAGACUCACUGUUAAAACUGUGUUCAUGGAAGACAAUCUUCCUCGACUAUGAGUGAUUGCCGAAGAAGAAGAAGAAGAAGAAGAAGAAGCAGCCAAGAGGUUAGCACUCAUGAUUUUGGUGCAACUCUAGCAGGGACUUGGAACGAACAGCGAGAGCUUAUGCUUUGAACAUACUCAAACCCCACAAUAUUCUGUUACCUUCUUUCCUCUAGUUCAGUGUAAUGUACUUCUGGUUGUAAGGUAGAAUAGUGAACCAGGAGUUUCCUGC